RNAcentral lists this non-coding RNA (792 nucleotides) under Pongo abelii (Sumatran orangutan). The record is from RNAcentral. Lineage: Eukaryota; Metazoa; Chordata; Mammalia; Primates; Hominidae.
ACAAAACCCGGAAGGACCCAGCCGAAGGUUUUCUCCGGUUCGGGCAAGAGACGGGGUCCCGCUCUGUCACCCAGGCUGCCAGACUGGCGUACAGUGGUGCAAUCUCAGCUCACUGCAACCUGCACCUCCUGGGUUCAAGUGAUUUUCUUGUCUCUGCCUCCUGAGUAGCUGGGAUUACUGGCACACACCACCAUGCACUGUUCCUUGUUCAAAAUGCCAAGAACCUGGAUGACUCAGAGUCAAGACCCUCCACCAGUAACAUAUAUUGGCGAGCCAGCCAGGAGACCACUACAGGAAACACUCCAUUUAUUCCACCUGAAUUCCCACUUGGCUGCAUCCUCAACCAUUGAAAUGAAUUUGACCCUGAUAAUCUAAGGAGGAAACAUUUGAUAUUCUUUUGCAAUAAUACUUGGCCCCAGUAUUGUUUGGAAUCUGGAGUUUGCUGUUGAAUGGGAAAGUGGGAUGACGUUGCAUGUAUCCAGGCUUUGGUGCUGCUGUCCUAAGAAGGGUCAGGCCUGGUCAGCAUAUGGUGCUCUCCUUUGGUGCUAUUUGGCUCCAGUGUCUUCAGAGUCUGAGGAGGUUUGGCCUUUAAAAAUCAAACUGCCACUGAAACUACUUUAUCCAAAAUUUUAGUUCACAGCCUUCACUGGAUUACCUAUUGGGGCAAACAAAGUGUAACCAUGUAAAACCUGUGAGCUUGUAUUGAUAUCUCAUGGCUAGCGCUCCAAGGUAAAAGCUAUUGGAUCUCGUUUGUGUGUGUGUAUACAUGUCUAGAUGUGUUUAUUUGUAUGU